UAAAACCUGUAUACCUAUUUUUCUUUUAUCUCCUUGUUCUGACAUUUCUUCCUUUUCUUUUAAUGCUCCAGCAUCAAAGAAGAUGCCUUUUCCCAUCCCCUGAAUAGUUACUUCACUUUAAAUUCUUAUUAAUUACUCUCCCAAAUGUAACGUAUAUCCUCUCUAAAAUUUGUACAGACUUUUUAAUCUUUAUCCACUCCUGAAUAUUCUUUACCCACGAAACCAACAAAUAUCAGUACCUUUCUCCUUCUUCUUCCUUUUUCUUCAAAUUUGCAGGGGUUCUGGUGAUCUUUUAUCGUCCUUUUGAUGUGGGUUUGGAGCAGUUGAGACACAAUCAUCAUAAUCACCUUCAGAUUUUUUUUUAUUUUCUUGUGGACACCUUUAAUUUUGCUUUCUUCUUUUUCAGCAUUAACAUCUAAACUUACUUGUACACUUUAGCAGUGACGAAGAUAACAACAGUAGAAAGCAAUGCCAUAAAAAGGUUAGGAAGUUUUAUUCAGUCAUAAUUCAUUCAUUGUUUAUGCAGUUAUUAUUUGAAAACUAGCAGUUCAAUGCGAUUUGUGUAUUAGUUAUGCAUAUGGCAGUUUUUUGUCGAGAAAUAUACGAAAUUUGGUCUGAUCUUCAAUUUUGUCACAAACAUUUAUGUCGGAUGCUUACUGGACGUGCUUCAACGGCCAGAUACUGACGGCAUCUCUUUCUCAUAUCACCGAAAAAUGCCCUCGGACUUUGAUGGUACUCCCAUGCUCUCUUUGAAGUCAUUAAUCUUUAUCAAUUCAUUCUACGUCGUUGUUUUUUUCAGAAUUAGCAAAAACUAGGUUUACUUCUUUUACUUAGUAGAAAACAUAUAUACGUACUUUCUAAUUUUUACAACAGUUAUUGGGUGUACGAGUCGUCUCAACCCGUUCAUUGUUAGAGAUACAACUAUUAGCUGAUGUUAUCGCUAUGAGUCUAUCAAGAAGCCUAAUUUUAAGAGAAAAAUAUAUAGAAUUCUGAUAGGUAAGUUUAUACUUUAUAGGUUUUUUAAAUAGAUAUCCGGAAAAACUAUUGAUGCUUGAUGAGAUUAUUAACUAGGUGCAAUCCGAUCCACUGCCAAGUUGAGGUUAAAUUACUUAGAUGACAUUAGUUUUAGAGUGUGCAAAAUCGGACUUUGCAAACUUGGUGUUCAAUUUUUUUGGAUAAAUGAUUUUUUAUUUGUUUUGCCCAAAAAAGAGUAAAAUUUAAAAUAUUUUCAACCUUAGUUUUUCAAAUCUUUCAAAAACUCAAAUAUUAGUCAUUAGUUUCAAUUUAAGUUCCAAAUGAUGUGAGUUAAACUUUAGAAAGGUAGCUGAAUUCUGUAUGUGUGCUUCAUGUAGUUUCUAUCAAUGAAGUUAAGUCUGAAUCCAAGAAUGGACUUCAAUAUAGAAUGUCUUCUCUUCAAGGAUUUUCAAUCAGAGCAAACUUAUGGUAUUACUCACGAGUUUUUGGCUAUAAUUGUUCAUGAAUUUUGUGACAACUUCAGAUUAUUCAUUCCAUUGGAUUGUGUCGCAUCAUACUAACAAAAGUAGCUGCAGAGUUUGGAUUCCAGAGUUAUGAAGUGUAUUUAGAGAAAAAUUUAGUUCAUCAGAUCUGUUGAGAAAAACAACAGUCAAAUUAUACUGAAAAACUCUUAGUACAAACCUUAUUCCUAUUCAACUUGAAACAUUCGUUUAGUAGUGACAUAAUGACUUAUUG
Molecule: long non-coding RNA, 1710 nt
Filed under: Nicotiana tabacum (common tobacco)
Lineage: Eukaryota; Viridiplantae; Streptophyta; Magnoliopsida; Solanales; Solanaceae
Description: long non-coding RNA (NTAB_LNC018758)
Source: RNAcentral